AGCACAGUUAUGCAAAUGGCGGCCUGUUGCAUUUGUAGCAGGUCACGCUAACUCAACGGGGCUUAUGUUCGUG
Molecule: non-coding RNA, 73 nt
Filed under: Proteomonas sulcata
Lineage: Eukaryota; Cryptophyceae; Pyrenomonadales; Geminigeraceae
Source: RNAcentral